This is a long non-coding RNA of Dermacentor albipictus, 1932 nucleotides long. RefSeq lists it as uncharacterized. The record is from RefSeq and is a predicted model, not a curated record. NCBI's taxonomy places the organism in Eukaryota, Metazoa, Arthropoda, Arachnida, Ixodida, Ixodidae.
GCGAGGUGUCCCGCGUGGUUUGGCAAGUGCCGGCGAUGCGCAAAAGCGCGCUUUCAGUUUAUGCAGUCGCAGCAACGUGAACGUCAGCCUAUAAGCAAGGCAAGAACAUCGGAAGACGCGUGAGAAUUUCUCACCGGAGAGCUCUUGUUACUGUCUGGCGUCGUAGCUGCGAAUGAAAACUACCUGCCAAAACUUGCAAACCGGCAUGGUCGUCCUGCACAGCGCCUCGUCCGAAGCGAUCCAGAGUGAUCUGCUUCUGGAUGACCAACAGGAACAGCUGGCAGCUGACCACCUUCGACAACACUUUGAGAGGCUGUUGCGAGGGAAAAUGAAAACAAAAGCUUUCCAUUCAAAAUUCUUCCCUGCGUGUGAUAAACGCAACGGCAAGCAUAUGGUGCAAUUCCACUGUCAUCCGUAUGGUGUGGUGGGCACGAAGGACAGGGACAUUGGAUGAGAUCUGCUUCUGGCUGAUUGAAAACAACUGCUGGGUACUGAUUGCUGCCUGUGACACAUUCCGAGCUGGUGCUGAGGAGCAGCUGCGCACUCACAUGAGCCACCUGAAUGCCCUGCACUCACCUCAGAAGCACUGCGGCAAGCAUAUGGUGUAACUGUAGGAGAAGGGUUACGGAAGGGAUGCUGCAGGCAUUGCCAUGGAGGCCAUCAACUAUGGUUGGUGCUGCGAUCUCAAUGACCUACAUCACAAGCGAGACCAUUGUUUCUGUGGGCACGGGGCCAACCUACGUCGACUUGAAAACGAUCAACGCCAAGGCAGUGGGGCAUGCACUCAUUAAGUAGACGGCACUGGUGAAGCUUGGCAGCCUUUCUUCCCUGACCUGGCUACCCUUUCCAGCUUUUCCUUCUUGAGAUAGUAGCAGUUUUGUUGAGAGUACCACAUUUUCCUUCAUUUUGUUAGGGAAAGAAGCCUUGUUAUGUCAAGAUUUUUCGUGGUGUUUUUGUGUUUACACGUAAAUUUUGAACAACCGGAAGGAUCAUUGUUUUUUUAAAACAAUGUUUUCGAUAGUUACUUAUGCUACACAUGUGUUAAUUUUGUUACAUUCCUUUGAUAAUACGCUUAGUCGUUCCAUCAUUUGUUGAGGAAUUCACACCUAUUGCGCUAAGCUUCCAUUUAUGUGGGCAACUGUGAGCUCUGUCUACUAAACUUGGCCACCUAAAUUUGUUUGUUAUGGGCUUUCACGUCAUUUUCUCGUGCUUUUUGCUCAACACUAAAAAAAUAAUUAUAUAUGAUUAUUUGUACAGCGUUUGUUCUUAGCUUUCUACCUUUUAUCUAUAAACAUUUUUUGUCUGUUUGAUGUUUAAUUUUAACUCUCAGUAUCUUUACCAUCAUAGCCAUGCCUAAAGGCUAUAAUUGUUGCACCUUUAUUAUUUUCCAAUAUUUCAUUGCAAUGGAAAUGCUGUGUCGAGUGGCCCCAGAUUGAUUAUACUCUAUAAUAUGCAUAGCUCAUUUUGGCUACAAACCUCACCAGAACCUAUCUGCGGUAUUUCACAAACAUUGUCAUGUUGUGCUGGGAACACUAUAAUUAGUUACGCUUGACUUUAGUAGCGGUGAUAAUAUGUACCUGGAAUUAAAUAAGUGUUUUACUCUAUAAGAAGCUUCUUGAUUCAUUAUGGUUGCUUAUCUUUAGGUCUAAACACUGCUUGAACCUUGAGACCAUUUCUUGGCAGGAAUAGCAUGCGGAAUAAAUAGAAAUGCUACUUUGGCGUGUGUUCAAGGUGAUUUAUUUAUGUAAUGGUUCAGUUCCAGUUCAUGGGAAUAAAAAGCUAUAACAGCUUGCGAAACAGUCCACGUUGUUGAACCAGACCAUCGCGGUGCAGUGGACCCUCAGGAUCAUAUGUUGUCAUGUCACAAUUAUUGCAUCCCAGUUAUUCAUGAAUGUGUAAACACUGAUGGAAUUAUAACAGUGCCUUUCUUUA